This 616-nucleotide long non-coding RNA is filed under the name Rattus norvegicus (Norway rat). RNAcentral's name for it is "long non-coding RNA NONRATT020286". Lineage: Eukaryota; Metazoa; Chordata; Mammalia; Rodentia; Muridae. The record is from RNAcentral.
CUACCUUUUGAAAUUAAUUUAAACUCCUUGCAUAAAUUGGAAUUGCUAAAGCUCUCACGUGACUACAGAGAAUUUCAUAUUUGUCUUUUUUUUUUUUCAGUUCUGGAUGUUUUAACUUGCCGCAAGAUAUUCCUGAAACGUAACACAAGAAGAAGAAUCUUCUGUGUAAAUUAGUCACAUACUUUAUUCUCCCACAUGUCACAAUCCUUCUAAUCUAUUGCAUCAAAUUCUGGACAGACUGAAGUAUAUAAGAAGAAAUAAGUGCUUACAUAGUAAUUAUUCUCCGUAAUGGGAGAGUUGCAAUUUAAGUGGCUCUUUUGGAGGAGCUUUGCUGAGUCUGGGGGCACAUUCCAAACAGUGUUAAUCUUUCUUUUCAUUCCAUAUUCCUUGACUGUGGAUUAUAGGGCAACACCAGUUCUGUCAGAUACAACUUUCGUUUGGGUCUGGAAUGUUCCAACUGAAGCUUGUGUAGAAAACGUUACUGAACCAAUAGAUCUGAGCUUCUUCUCUUUAAUUGGAAGCCCCCGGAAAACUGCCAUAGGGCAGCCUGUCACAUUAUUUUAUGUUGAUCGACUUGGUAACUAUCCUCACAUAGAUGCACAGCAAACAGAACAUC